CCUACGGGAGGCAGCAGUGGGGAAUAUUGCGCAAUGGGCGAAAGCCUGACGCAGCGACGCCGCGUGAGGGAUGAAGGUCUUCGGAUCGUAAACCUCUGUCAGCAGGGAAGAACGGUCACUGUGCUAAUCAGCAGUGAAUUGACGGUACCUGCAAAGGAAGCACCGGCUAACUCCGUGCCAGCAGCCGCGGUAAUACGGAGGGUGCGAGCGUUAAUCGGAAUUACUGGGCGUAAAGCGCUCGUAGGCGGUAUGUCAAGUCAAGGGUGAAAUCCCCGCGCUCAACGUGGGAACUGCCUUUGAAACUGGCAGACUGGAGUGUAGGAGAGGAAAGUGGAAUGCCAGGUGUAGGGGUGAAAUCCGUAGAUAUCUGGAGGAACAUCAGUGGCGAAGGCGACUAUCUGGCACAUAACUGACGCUGAGGAGCGAAAGCGUGGGUAGCAAACAGGAUUAGAUACCCUAGUAGUC
This 465-nucleotide ribosomal RNA is filed under the name uncultured bacterium. RNAcentral's name for it is "partial 16S ribosomal RNA". It matches the Rfam family "Bacterial small subunit ribosomal RNA", at positions 338 to 795 of the family's 1533-position model. The record is from RNAcentral.